GCCAGGCGCGGUGGCAUGUGUCUAUGGUCCCAGCUACUCGGGAGGCUGAGGUGGGAGGAUCACUUGGGCCCAGGAGUUCUGGGCCGCAGCCGGCUAUGCCGAUCGGGUGUCUGCACUAAGUUCGGCAUCAAUAUAGUGACCUCCCGGACGCGGAGGAAUACCAGGUUGCCUAAAGGCAGGUGAAGCGAUCCAGGUCGGAAAUGGAGCAGGUCAAAACUCCUGCAGUGGGAUCGUGCCUGUGAAUAGCCACCACACCCCAGCCUGGGCAACAUAGCAAGACCCCAUCUCU
Molecule: unclassified non-coding RNA, 289 nt
Organism: Cebus imitator (Panamanian white-faced capuchin)
Lineage: Eukaryota; Metazoa; Chordata; Mammalia; Primates; Cebidae
Rfam family: Metazoan signal recognition particle RNA
About the family: The signal recognition particle (SRP) is a universally conserved ribonucleoprotein. It is involved in the co-translational targeting of proteins to membranes.
Source: Ensembl